UGCCAGCCGCCGCGGUAAUACGGAGGGGGCAAGCGUUGCUCGGAAUUACUGGGCGUAAAGCGAGCGUAGGCGGUUAGUCAAGUUGGUGGUGAAAGCCCAGAGCUCAACUCUGGAACUGCCAUCAAAACUGACUUACUUGAGAUUGGUAGAGGGAAAUGGAAUUCCUAGUGUAGAGGUGAAAUUCGUAGAUAUUGGGAAGAACAUCGGUGGCGAAGGCGAUUUCCUGGGCCAAUUCUGACGCUGAGGUUCGAAAGCGUGGGUAGCAAACAGGAUUAGAUA
This 279-nucleotide ribosomal RNA is filed under the name uncultured bacterium. RNAcentral's name for it is "partial 16S ribosomal RNA". It matches the Rfam family "Bacterial small subunit ribosomal RNA", at positions 506 to 784 of the family's 1533-position model. The record is from RNAcentral.